Eriocheir sinensis (Chinese mitten crab) is the source of this 594-nucleotide long non-coding RNA. RefSeq lists it as uncharacterized. The transcript is spliced from 3 exons. Lineage: Eukaryota; Metazoa; Arthropoda; Malacostraca; Decapoda; Varunidae. The record is from RefSeq and is a predicted model, not a curated record.
GUGCUGGCUAUCAUGUGUUUGAAGAUACCCUAAACUUAACCUAACCUAACCUAACAAAACCCCAAACAGUCACUAUAGGUCUUGACUCAGAAAAUUCAUAUAUGCUUCCUUACUAAUGAGACUUUCUAUACAACAAAGUGAGGUCAUUCUGUGUUGAUUCAUACCAUAAGGUGCUGGCUAUCAUGUGUUUGAAGAUACCCUAAACUUAACCUAACAAAACCCCAAACAGUCACUAUAGGUCUUGACUCAGAAAAUUCAUAUAUGCUUCCUUACUAAUGAGACUUUCUAUACAACAAAGUGAGGUCAUUCUUUGUUGAUUUAUACCAUAAGGUGCUGGCUAUCAUGUGUUUGAAGAUACCCUAAACUUAACCUAACAAAACCCCAAACAGUCACUAUAGGUCUUGACUCAGAAAAUUCAUAUAUGCUUCCUUACUAAUGAGACUUUCUAUACAACAAAGUGAGGUCAUUCUUUCUUGAUUCAUACCACAAGUUCCCACCUAUCAUGCGUCUGAAAAUACCUUAACCUAACCUAACCUAACAAAACCCCAGACAAUCACUACAGGUCUUAGAAAAUUCAUAUAAGCUUCCUCAAUC